RNAcentral lists this ribosomal RNA (468 nucleotides) under uncultured bacterium. Its description in RNAcentral is "partial 16S ribosomal RNA". It matches the Rfam family "Bacterial small subunit ribosomal RNA", at positions 28 to 507 of the family's 1533-position model. The record is from RNAcentral.
GACGAACGCUGGCGGCGUGCUUAACACAUGCAAGUCGAACGGAAAGGCCCUGCUUUUGUGGGGUGCUCGAGUGGCGAACGGGUGAGUAACACGUGAGUAACCUGCCCUUGACUUUGGGAUAACUUCAGGAAACUGGGGCUAAUACCGGAUAGGAGCUCCUGCUGCAUGGUGGGGGUUGGAAAGUUUCGGCGGUUGGGGAUGGACUCGCGGCUUAUCAGCUUGUUGGUGGGGUAGUGGCUUACCAAGGCUUUGACGGGUAGCCGGCCUGAGAGGGUGACCGGCCACAUUGGGACUGAGAUACGGCCCAGACUCCUACGGGAGGCAGCAGUGGGGAAUAGUGCAUAAUGGGCGGAAGCCUGAUGCAGCAACGCCGCGUGCGGGAUGACGGCCUUCGGGUUGUAAACCGCUUUCGCCUGUGACGAAGCGUGAGUGACGGUAAUGGGUAAAGAAGCACCGGCUAACUACGUG